AAAGUCGUAACAAGGUCUCCGUAGGUGAACCUGCGGAGGGAUCAUUAAUGAACGGCCCUCUGGGCCUUCAAACCCUCAAAACCUGUGGAAGAGAAAACCGUGCUUCGACGCCCUCGGGCGUCGCAUUUAUGCGUUUGAUUUGGCUUUGUGUCCGAAAUAUGAAUCGAAUUAAAACUUUCAACAAAGGAUCUCUUGGCUCUU
RNAcentral lists this unclassified non-coding RNA (201 nucleotides) under Ascomycota sp. Its description in RNAcentral is "partial contains small subunit ribosomal RNA, internal transcribed spacer 1, and 5.8S ribosomal RNA". The stretch from base 1 to 47 matches the Rfam family "Eukaryotic small subunit ribosomal RNA", at positions 1785 to 1831 of the family's 1831-position model. The record is from RNAcentral. Lineage: Eukaryota; Fungi; Ascomycota.